CAUGUUAUUUCAACAAAUUCAGGCUAAUUUUAUAGAAAUAUGUUUUUUAAAAUUAGCACAAGAUCAUGAUGUCAAGAAUAAAAUUGCAGAAUAUUGGUGUCACCAUUAAGUCAUACAAAAUAUUUUUACUUUGUCGAGACAAAUAUAAGAGGCACACUUGUUAUUAGGUAAGCAUUGCCGUGGAGUAAAAAAAAAUUCUAAUCAAAUAAUUAAAUCUGACAUUAAAAAUAAUAAUAAUAGUAAUUAUGUUUCGCCAAAUAAAAAUACAAAAAGCAAAUAUCUGAGAUAUUCACACUAAAUUUCUUCAUAAAUCAAAUCUGCCUCAUUAGUAGCCGCAAUCGUUGAAUUGAUGGAACUACUGAAAUGGGAAAUGUUAAACUGGAAAAUGUGUGACCACCACAGAGCGUUACUACGGUGAUCGCUAAGCACAAUUAAUAUUUAAAUUUUUAUGUGUUCUUAAUUUAACGAAUAUUCAAAGAAAAAAGAAAAUAUUUUAAAGCAAAUAAUCUUAUAUAAAAACGUUCUUCUUGAUAGAAGGUUUAAACGUAAGCUGCGUCAGUGGAAGACCCAAUAGUUAAGUUGUCUGAACUUCCGUAAUGGAAAAUUGUCUAGGUGGGUACUGUGUGUCUACCACAAAUAGUUACUACAGUGAUCCCAAGCACAACCGAAUGUAAAAUUUACUUAUUUUUGCGUCCGGAUAGUCAUAAAAAGACUGAAAACUUUUGGCAAAACUGUGCUGAAGAACUGAAUGCUUCUGGAGGAUCCAAUAAAAUUCCAGAGCAAUGGAAAAAAUUGCUGGGCGAACUGGAAGCUGUCAGUAAAAAAAAAACAAGCAUCUGCAAUAAAGCGCUUUUCUGACAAAACACGCAAUCAAUUGAAAACUUUUGAGGGAAUAGAUAAAGAAGUGAUAGCAUUGAUUUCAGAGCACGCAGUGGAUGGGGUUUAAAAUGUUCCUGAAUCAGGCAUUCCGUAACAUCAAUCAGAUUUUUUGACGCUGGAGUUUCUUGAGAGUGAAGAAAUUUUAGAUAACAACUUUGCUUCUUCAACGCCUUCUUUACCACUGGUAUCCAAAAAGGCAAGGAAUGACACCUACUUGUCAGAACUCGAAAGUGUUAAGCGCCUCAUUAUUGAGCAAAAUUAAAAGCAGAACCAGACAUUUCUAGAGAUGCUUACAGUAUUGAAAAGCAUCAACAAUAAGUUGGAUGUGUCAAUUGACAACACAAAAAAAGAAUAAGUACAA
Long non-coding RNA from Teleopsis dalmanni, 1240 nucleotides. RefSeq lists it as uncharacterized. The record is from RefSeq and is a predicted model, not a curated record. NCBI's taxonomy places the organism in Eukaryota, Metazoa, Arthropoda, Insecta, Diptera, Diopsidae. The transcript has 3 exons.